This 465-nucleotide long non-coding RNA is filed under the name Struthio camelus australis. RNAcentral's name for it is "lncRNA (ENSSCUG00000003803.1)". The record is from RNAcentral. Lineage: Eukaryota; Metazoa; Chordata; Aves; Struthioniformes; Struthionidae.
GCUGCAGCCCAGCCUCUCUUCAGCCUACUCUGCCAGUUCUCUCAAGCAUGGUUUAAGGACCACCUUCAAUGAGAACAAAAGGAAAUGGAGACGUCCUUCCAUGAUGCGGUUUGUCUGCACCAGUAGUUUUGGGGGCCAAGAAGAGUGGUGGCCCAGAAGAAGGAAGAAUCCGUCAAAACACAAAAUAUCACCACAGUGGGCUUAGUCCUUAUUCUCUGGCUAUUGAAGUUCAAGCUGCACAACUGGCCUUAAGCGACACUAGCACUGCCUCCGUACUGGUUUAGCCUGAGUCUGCUGCAGCCCCUGAGUUUAGGAGAAAGAGAAGGAGAUGGGAAGCAGGAGAAGAGUUGUGGAGGUAGGAAGCUAAACCAGCAAGGAAGCUGGUCCCAUCCCUUUGUGGAGCCAUCCUGUAAAGAGAAGGGUUGUUCAAUCAACUUUCCUGCAGUGACAGUGCUGCAUAUUUGA